Molecule: long non-coding RNA, 1046 nt
Filed under: Phasianus colchicus (ring-necked pheasant)
Lineage: Eukaryota; Metazoa; Chordata; Aves; Galliformes; Phasianidae
Description: lncRNA (ENSPCLG00000012945.1)
Source: RNAcentral
GUAGAGAGUGCCCAGCCUGCGACAAAAUUAUGAUCACUGAUUAUUUCAGAAUGAAGGGCAUAUGUGAAAUUUCAGUAUCAAACAACACAAAACCAUCCGUGCUGUGCACAAGCAUUACCUAUGACUCUAUUCAUGAAGUUGUUUGGGGCUGAAUUUGGCUGAGCCUGCACCCAGACAGCCAUAGAUUUGGCUACAAGCUCCGUGUGUGGAAACUGCACAGAGAAUGUGUGUGGUGCUGUGCAGGUAGGGAGCUGAGCAGGUAAAGGUCUGUGAAGGGGGGGAGCUGUGCAGGCAUAGUGCUGUGCAGUAUGGAGUUCUGUAGGCAUAGAGCUGUGCAGGUAGGAUGCCAUGCAGGCAGACUGAGUGCUGCAGUAGCUCCUUGAUGUUCAUUUCCAAAAUUGAUGUUUUCUUGGUUUUCUUUCUGUGCUGGAAAAUUAUCAGUUUUGUCAAGCAAAUCGUAUGGAUGCCAGAUGAUUACAUAUUAUGAAGUAAUUGUGCAACUUGUAGUGUAAAACCAAUUCAUUUAGAUCAUAGUUCAAACAUUCUAGAACUGCCUGACAAUCUGGGUUUGCUCAGAUCCAUACUUUGCUGUGGGAUUUGAACUUCAUGAAAGAUUUGUAACCAGAGCAGUGUGGAGAGACUACUUACCUGACAGGGAGAUGCAGUAAGAAGCUCAGGACAUGCAAAUAUUUUGGAAGGAAAAGGGAUGUAACAGAAAGGUUACGUACAAUACAGCACAACAACUCCAAAUGUUACUGUCUACAAGCAGGCUGGUAUGCUCCCUGAGGUUCAUAUUCAUUUUUCUACUUUCCAUUCUGCUGCUUCUACUUAUAAAUGAACAUACUGUAACAAAGGUACAGCAACAGAGAUAAUAUUUUGGUUUCAGAGCUCUUGUGUGCAACAGAGCAUCUUGUUUGCCAUACCAGAAGAACUGGGAUCCUAGAAAUUUUAUGAACAAAUUUUUCCCAUUCUGAUUUUGACCACUGCUGAAUGCAAAAGUUCUCUCUUGCACCAGUGGAAAUAAAAUAACCCAAAUCUCUUCCCCA